GGACCUGACUGCUAUCGGAUUGAUACUAAGCCAUGCGAGUCUUUGUAGUAAUACAAGGCAGACGGCUCAGUAACACGUAGUCAAUCUAACCUAUGGACAGGGAUAACCUCGGGAAACUGAGAAUAAUACCUGAUAGAUCAUUAUACCUGGAAUGGUUUAUGGUCGAAAUGAUUUAUCGCCGUAGGAUGGGACUGCGGUCUAUCAGCUUGUUGGUGAGGUAAUGGCCCACCAAGGCUAUAACAGAUACGGGCUCUGAGAGGAGAAGCCCGGAGAUGGGUACUGAGACACGGACCCAGGCCCUAUGGGGCGCAGCAGGCGAGAAAACUUUGCAAUGUGCGAAAGCACGACAAGGUUAAUCCGAGUGUUUUCUGCUAAAGAAAUCUUUUGUCAGUCCUAAAAACACUGAUGAAUAAGGGGUGGGCAAGUUCUGGUGUCAACG
This 439-nucleotide ribosomal RNA is filed under the name uncultured archaeon. RNAcentral describes it as "bacterial SSU rRNA". It matches the Rfam family "Archaeal small subunit ribosomal RNA", at positions 19 to 463 of the family's 1478-position model. The record is from RNAcentral.